UAAUACGUAGGGGGCGAGCGUUGUCCGGAAUCAUUGGGCGUAAAGAGCGUGUAGGUGGACUGGAAGGUCUGGUGUGAAAGCCCGGGGCUCAACCCCGGAGGGUCACUGGAAACCAACAGUCUUGAGUCUGGAAGAGGAGAGUGGAAUUCCUGGUGUAGCGGUGGAAUGCGCAGAUAUCAGGAGGAACACCAAUGGCGAAGGCAGCUCUCUGGUACAUGACUGACACUGAGACGCGAAAGCGUGGGGAGCGAACAGGAUUAGAUACCCUGGUAGUCCACGCCGUAAACGAUGGGCGCUAGGUGUGGGGGGUGUCGACUCCCUCCGUGCCGAAGCUAACGCAUUAAGCGCCCCGCCUGGGGAGUACGGCCGCAAGGCUA
Molecule: ribosomal RNA, 377 nt
Filed under: uncultured bacterium
Lineage: Bacteria
Description: bacterial SSU rRNA
Rfam family: Bacterial small subunit ribosomal RNA
Source: RNAcentral